This 1198-nucleotide long non-coding RNA is filed under the name Cavia porcellus (domestic guinea pig). RNAcentral's name for it is "lncRNA (ENSCPOG00000031732.1)". The record is from RNAcentral. Lineage: Eukaryota; Metazoa; Chordata; Mammalia; Rodentia; Caviidae.
GUUCAGUUUGGCAAUGUGGGUCUCCCACCUUAAUGACUUUUGAUUUUUUUAAAAUGGUGAAAACAUGUAUUUUUAGAAUCGGUCACUUGGAACCAGUUUAGAUGGUCCCAGUUUUGUUGACAACACUGAAAGUAUCAUAAGCAGGCGCUAACUGUCCAAGACCUCCUUCUUCCACCAGGUCUGCCCAGGGUGUUGCCCUUGGUGGCAUCAGUGUCGCAGAGCUGCUUUCACAGCCUGUUGGAUCUGGUGCGUGUCACUCUCGAUGUCCAAGGGCGCUGUCUUGUGUCUUCUCUCACAGCAGAUUUAGUGGUCGGGAAAUUUGAUGUGGUGGUUAGACGCCUUUCUCCUGGGGAUCCUCUUCUGACAGAAUCUGGGCUGCCUGCAGAGCCACAGGGUGAAUUUGGGGUCCCUAGAAGCCCAAGAGGAUGGAGAAAGGGCAUCCUUCAAAUCUUCCUUGGUGUGAAUAUGGUAUGCCUCUGGAUAAGAAAGAAGAACCAAAAGUCUCAUGGACAUUCUUCCAAAGUUGGACAGCAAAUGUGCCUGAAGGCCUAGAAAACUGGCCUUCUGUCAUGGCCAACCCUGUCAUUACAGGGAGAAGCUUCCUAUGGAGUUCUUUUAUCUGCCUAUUUGGAUCUUCCAAAGAGGAACACCACUGAAAUUUCUCUAAUCAGAAGAGGCUAAACUCAUCGGAGAAAGACUGAAACCUGUGGGUACAUCUGGAAACACAUGCAGACUGAGCUGCAUUAUAGACCAUUGUCCUCCAUUUUGGUUCCACUUAGCAUUCCAAAGCAAAUUACUUUUUUUUACCUUUGACUGUUCUGCAGGCUUUCCAGACUCUGUCCCUGGCUUUGUUUUAUGUCCUCAAAGUUUAGUGAAUUCCCCAGAAAGUCAUUCACUAUUCCCCGCUUUCCCUUGCUUUUUUUUUGGAAGCAAGAUAUCAUUAUGUAGUUCAAGCUGGCUUGAACAGUCCAGGCUGGCCUCGAACUCAUGGUGAUCCUCCUGCCUUGGCCCCCUGAGUGCUGGGAUUACAGGUAUGUGUCAUCACAUCACUAUCCCUUAAUAAUGGCCCUUCCUGUUCCUUAUUGAAGAGGGUAUUUAAGCUCAAUGAUCUAAUCUUUCCUUUGAGUCUCACCUUUGUUUGACUCCUGUGUUGUGAUUUUUCCUGGCAUGACAAUAAAUUUCUGUGUCUUUCUCCAGU